GUCUACAGCCAUGUCACCCUUAACACGCCCGAUCUCGUCUGAUCUCGGAAGCUAAGCGGGGUCGGGCCUGGUUAGUACUUGGAUGAGAGACCACCUAGGAAGACCAGGUGCUGUAGUCU
This 119-nucleotide ribosomal RNA is filed under the name Pteropus alecto (black flying fox). Lineage: Eukaryota; Metazoa; Chordata; Mammalia; Chiroptera; Pteropodidae. The record is from RNAcentral.